Molecule: long non-coding RNA, 1271 nt
Filed under: Homo sapiens (human)
Lineage: Eukaryota; Metazoa; Chordata; Mammalia; Primates; Hominidae
Description: HSALNT0044530
Source: RNAcentral
UUGCAUCCUGGCCAUUCUGACUGAAGCAUCUGUGGCUCAAAUGGCCCCAAGUACAGCUCAGAUCACUGCUCUGGAGGCCCAGAUGGCUACAAGCCUGUACAGAAUGUUAUGACACUGUAUACUGGAGGCAACUCUAACACAAUGUACAUGAAUCACUCCUACUAAGAGAUCCUGAAAGAGGUCAUCAAAGCCACCAGAAACUAUUCCUGGACAGAGGAGGUUUUAUAGGUGUGGUUGGUCUCCUUACUGACGUGUCAACUACAAAUGCACAGGGUUCUGCCUGAAAUGUUUUAGUUGUUGCAGAUGUGUAGCUUCUAUAUGUAAAGUCUUCACUGCACGUGCUACAGAAACUUGAACUAUCUGAAGAGAGGAUGGAGUCAUCAGAUACUGGACAGAUCCAGUCAAAAUAUUUGGAUGCUUUCAGAAACAUCUGCCUAGCUGAGAUGUGGGGAAGGAACAUAAAGCAUUUUCUCUCCCAGUCCCUGCUGAAAGGGAACAAGAAGACUAAGCAAUAAGUGAGAAAAGAAAUGAUGGAAUAGAUGUGAGGCUUCCACAGCAAACUCCUGUAAAACCUGCAGUUAAACCUGAGCAAGAGGAAUGUGACAUAUGUGUCUUUGCUCUUUAUUUGGAUCUGUGUGUAUGCUCUUGGAGCAGUGGCGAAGAAGCUCCAGGGUAAUCUAAAAACCAAAAUAAAUGCCUUGAGAUCUUUUCUGGGAAUGAAAAAAUACAAAGACAAGCUAAGAAGCUGGAGCAGGAAAUUGACUUCAAACUCUGCUUGGAGAAUCACCAGCUGCAAAACUGUAUGGGGCAAAUUUCUCAUAAGAGUAUAGAGGAUGUGACACUGUACAGAGUUCACACUCAUGACUCAAUGAUGAAAUGGAAACCAGGAAGACCUGAUUAUGCAUGUCUGUGAAACUCACCCAUGCCAUCUGGAAAGGAAAAAGUUAAGUUGCAUUUCUGCAAUACAUUCUCUCCCUUCCCUGAGCUGCUCCUGGAAUAUAAAGAAAGCAAGUGAGUUGAACUAAUCCUCUUAUAAACAUACUAAUGAUAAAUCUCCCAGUAAAACAACAACAAUAACAAUAAAGGUCUUCUGCUAACAAAAGAGUCUUUUCCUAUGUGAAGUUUUAGUAGAAUGUGCUUAAUUGUCUAGAAUUAUUUAUAGUAAGCAAACAGAAGUAUAUGGACUUACGCAUAAUGGCUCCUUGGAAAAUGUUAUAUUAUAUAUGUAACUCUUUCUGUAGAAAAUAUCUGUCUCCUUUCAUGAAAGUGAG